RNAcentral lists this ribosomal RNA (469 nucleotides) under uncultured bacterium. Its description in RNAcentral is "partial 16S ribosomal RNA". It matches the Rfam family "Bacterial small subunit ribosomal RNA", at positions 28 to 507 of the family's 1533-position model. The record is from RNAcentral.
GACGAACGCUGGCGGCGUGCUUAACACAUGCAAGUCGAACGGUGAAGCGAGUGCUUGCACUCGUGGAUCAGUGGCGAACGGGUGAGUAACACGUGAGUAACCUGCCCAUCACUCUGGGAUAAGCACUGGAAACGGUGUCUAAUACUGGAUACGACCAACCCUUGCAUGGGGUGUUGGUGGAAAGAUUUAUCGGUGAUGGAUGGACUCGCGGCCUAUCAGCUUGUUGGCGGGGUAAUGGCACACCAAGGCGACGACGGGUAGCCGGCCUGAGAGGGUGACCGGCCACACUGGGACUGAGACACGGCCCAGACUCCUACGGGAGGCAGCAGUGGGGAAUAUUGCACAAUGGGCGAAAGCCUGAUGCAGCGACGCCGCGUGAGGGAUGACGGCCUUCGGGUUGUAAACCUCUUUCAGCAGGGAAGAAGCGAAAGUGACGGUACCUGCAGAAGAAGCACCGGCUAACUACGUG